This is a long non-coding RNA of Apteryx owenii (little spotted kiwi), 2178 nucleotides long. Lineage: Eukaryota; Metazoa; Chordata; Aves; Apterygiformes; Apterygidae. The record is from Ensembl.
CUGACCCUUAUGGCCAUUCUUGCAGUCUGCUUGCACAUGUCCAUGUCUCUGACCUCCCAAGCUACCUCCAAGCAACUUUAUCCUUCACUUUCCUGCCUCCAUGUCUGCCACUGUGGAGAUCUGGGACACUUGGGCACAGUCGGGAAAGCAAGACCAGACUGUAGCACACAUCAGCAUAAGCAACCGAUGGGAUGCAAAAGAAGGCGACGACAUGUCUUUUCUGAAGGAUGACCCUGACAGCCAGAGGAUCCUUGGUACAGACAAGCUGAAGAGCAGAGGUGAGGAGUGGGUGGAAGAGAACUGCCCAGCAGAGCUGGAGGAGAAGGUGAAGCAGCCAAGCCUCCCAGAUCAUGGGGCCUCCUCAUCACAAGGGCUGCGAAGUGGGAAGGUCCCAUCUGCCCACAAUGGCCAGAAGGGGGAACUGAGAGCAGUGAAGGGAUGCAGGGAGGUACCUGUGGCCGUCACUGGUGACACAGAGCUGGGGACCAAGCUGAGUAAGGAGAGCAUUGGGGAAGAUGGCAGUGUGAAGCCUGGCACUGCUGACAUCCCCCAGGAGAAGGAGAGCACAAACAGCAGUGCUCCACAGAGCAGCCUUCCGAGCACUGUGCAAGCCACCAGGCACAGCAGUGAGGAGACCGUGUCAUUGCCCCUUCAAGCUGACUUAAAGAAAAGCACAGCUUCAGAAUGGGAAUCCACUGAGGACUCUUCGAACAGCCAUGGAGGAAAGCUGGACACAGCAGCAGGAUGCAGAUGGGAGGCAGGUCAAGGACAGCUGGUGCGAAAAAGAGGGGAGGAAGUGACCCAAAACACUGUCCUUGAGGGGCAAACACUUGCACUGAAAGGUGGUGAAGACACUGAAGGCACUGAACACAGAGCAGAGCCUUUGACCCCAAGGGAAGACAGCUCCAACAAGACUGUUGUGUCUGAGCAGGACACGGCAAAAUCACAGUCCAGCAAAGAGGACCAGCCUGAGGAGUGCAAGGACAAGGACACCGGGGACUCUCUGAACUAACAAAGACUGCACUGGCUUGCCUGAGACAGAAGGAUAACAUGCUGAAGGUGGUGGAUGAGAAGAGGAGCACAGCCUUGUCCUCCCUCUUUGACCUCGUAUGAGAUUGGCUUUCAGCACCUGCCCUGUGCCUUUCAGCACCCAUUCACCACAAGGGGGGUCCCCCAUCACCACUCCCCCCUUCCUGCACACAGUUUCAGUGUCACCCCCAUCUAGUCCUAUGCCAAAGGACAGGGCAAGCUACACACACAUCCCUACCCUUCAGAGAAAACGGUCACUUUUCUUUUGCAUUUGUUUUCCUUAUAUUGCAGCUGUGUGGCAAGCCAGUGAAUUGUCUACUGGAUGCACUUUAUUUUAUUUAAUAACUAAUUCUGUUAAAAGUUAAGAUUCAGCUUUCUGGGCUCACCGACCCUUUCCUUCCCUUAGAGGCUGCCAGGGCACUGCACAUGCCAGGAGCAUGACAGGGGUGAUGGGAGCUCUCCCUUGCUGCUUGGUAGGGAGCAGGUGACAAAGCAAAUGACUAGGAACAGCCACCUCAUAGGAGACAUGGUGAGAGUGGUUAUAUUGUAGUUCUAUAGGUGGGUGAAAAACUAGCAUUCAAAGCAACUGUUGUACUAGAGGUUUUAAGUUGUUGGAAUGCUGGCAGAGAUGUUUGGUAGUCGCAUGGGUUGCAGGGCACGAAGGGGAUAGAGCAUUCAUUAGUUACACCACGGGAUGCAGAGGCUUUUGACAAACACACAUCAACCACACCAUCUUAUAAUUUAAGAGCUUGCUUUUCUCCUCCUGAUAGAUUUAGUAAGGCACAAGUACCAGAGGCUGAAUCAGCACACUAAGAGACCACGCUUUUUCCAAGGAAGGUUGCUGGCUGGAUUGAGCGGGUACACACAUGGCUUGGCAAAGCACCAAGCCCACUCCAUAAGAAUGAGAAGUGGGAAGAGGUGGGAAGACUGAGUUAAGUAGACACACUUACAGUUGUACGUGCCAAGCAGGGCAAGGAGGAGGGCAGCACAAACAAUCUUCCUUCUCAACAACCCUGCACCAAGGAAGGGGUCAGCAGUGGGACCCUGGGCAAAUUGGAGUUGAAGGUGUAGGCUUCUUAUCAAGUGCUUUCACCUUCCCAGUUGUGCCUUUCAUAGCCUUGUGCUUGAAUAAAUGGAAAGUAGCUGCCA